AGAACGAACGCUGGCGGCAUGCCUAACACAUGCAAGUCGAACGAACCCUUCGGGGUGAGUGGCGCACGGGUGCGUAACGCGUGGGAACCUGCCCUUAGGUUUGGAAUAACAGUGAGAAAUCGCUGCUAAUACCAAAUAAUGUCUUCGGACCAAAGAUUUAUCGCCCUUUGAUGAACCCGCGUAAGAUUAGCUUGUUGGUGAGGUAAAGGCUCACCAAGGCGACGAUCUUUAGCUGGUCUGAGAGGAUGAUCAGCCACACUGGGACUGAGACACGGCCC
This 278-nucleotide ribosomal RNA is filed under the name Alexandrium margalefii. RNAcentral's name for it is "partial Bacterial small subunit ribosomal RNA". It matches the Rfam family "Bacterial small subunit ribosomal RNA", at positions 26 to 332 of the family's 1533-position model. The record is from RNAcentral. Lineage: Eukaryota; Dinophyceae; Gonyaulacales; Pyrocystaceae.